Molecule: ribosomal RNA, 492 nt
Filed under: uncultured bacterium
Lineage: Bacteria
Description: partial 16S ribosomal RNA
Rfam family: Bacterial small subunit ribosomal RNA
Source: RNAcentral
AGUGAACGCUGGCGGUAGGCCUAACACAUGCAAGUCGAACGGCAGCACAGUAAGAGCUUGCUCUUACGGGUGGCGAGUGGCGGACGGGUGAGGAAUACAUCGGAAUCUACUUUUUCGUGGGGGAUAACGUAGGGAAGCUUACGCUAAUACCGCAUACGACCUACGGGUGAAAGCAGGGGAUCUUCGGACCUUGCGCGAUUGAAUGAGCCGAUGUCGGAUUAGCUAGUUGGCGGGGUAAAGGCCCACCAAGGCGACGAUCCGUAGCUGGUCUGAGAGGAUGAUCAGCCACACUGGAACUGAGACACGGACCAGACUCCUACGGGAGGCAGCAGUGGGGAAUAUUGGACAAUGGGCGCAAGCCUGAUCCAGCCAUACCGCGUGGGUGAAGAAGGCCUUCGGGUUGUAAAGCCCUUUUGUUGGGAAAGAAAAGCAGCAGGUUAAUACCCCGCUGUUCUGACGGUACCCAAAGAAUAAGCACCGGCUAACUUCGUG